GAUGAACGCUAGCUACAGGCUUAACACAUGCAAGUCGAGGGGCAGCAUGAGGUCAGCUUGCUGACUUUGAUGGCGACCGGCGCACGGGUGAGUAACGCGUAUCCAACCUGCCCAUGACUAAGGGAUAAUCCGUAGAAAUGCGGUCUAAUACCUUAUGUUGUCCGAGGAAGACAUCUGAUUCGGACGAAAGAUUUAUCGGUUAUGGAUGGGGAUGCGUCUGAUUAGCUUGUUGGCGGGGUAACGGCCCACCAAGGCGACGAUCAGUAGGGGUUCUGAGAGGAAGGUCCCCCACAUUGGAACUGAGACACGGUCCAAACUCCUACGGGAGGCAGCAGUGAGGAAUAUUGGUCAAUGGACGAGAGUCUGAACCAGCCAAGUAGCGUGCAGGAUGACGGCCCUAUGGGUUGUAAACUGCUUUUAUACGGGGAUAAAGGGUGUCACGUGUGACAUUUUGCAGGUACCGUAUGAAUAAGGACCGGCUAAUUCCGUG
RNAcentral lists this ribosomal RNA (490 nucleotides) under uncultured bacterium. RNAcentral's name for it is "bacterial SSU rRNA". It matches the Rfam family "Bacterial small subunit ribosomal RNA", at positions 28 to 507 of the family's 1533-position model. The record is from RNAcentral.